CAGGGGGUAAUUUACUUAGAAUGUCGGCUUUGGGGGCCGGUAGGGGGGGUUUAAGUCCCCUUCCCCUGA
RNAcentral lists this transfer RNA (69 nucleotides) under Ascaphus truei (coastal tailed frog). Its description in RNAcentral is "transfer RNA-Pro". It matches the Rfam family "tRNA". From Rfam's summary of the family: Transfer RNA (tRNA) molecules are approximately 80 nucleotides in length. Their secondary structure includes four short double-helical elements and three loops (D, anti-codon, and T loops). Further hydrogen bonds mediate the characteristic L-shaped molecular structure. tRNAs have two regions of fundamental functional importance: the anti-codon, which is responsible for specific mRNA codon recognition, and the 3' end, to which the tRNAs corresponding amino acid is attached (by aminoacyl-tRNA synthetases). tRNAs cope with the degeneracy of the genetic code in two manners: having more than one tRNA (with a specific anti-codon) for a particular amino acid; and 'wobble' base-pairing, i.e. permitting non-standard base-pairing at the 3rd anti-codon position. The record is from RNAcentral. Lineage: Eukaryota; Metazoa; Chordata; Amphibia; Anura; Ascaphidae.